AACGAACGCUGGCGGCAUGCCUAACACAUGCAAGUCGAACGAGACCUUCGGGUCUAGUGGCGCACGGGUGCGUAACGCGUGGGAACCUGCCCUUAGGUUCGGAAUAACUCCCCGAAAGGGGUGCUAAUACCGGAUAAUGUCUUCGGACCCAAGAUUUAUCGCCUUUGGAUGGGCCCGCGUUGGAUUAGCUAGUUGGUAGGGUAAAAGCCUACCAAGGCGACAAUCCAUAGCUGGUCUGAGAGGAUGAUCAGCCACACUGGGACGGAGACACGGCCCAGACUCCUACGGGAGGCAGCAGUGGGGAAUAUUGGACAAUGGGCGAAAGCCUGAUCCAGCAAUGCCGCGUGAGUGAUGAAGGCCUUAGGGUUGUAAAGCUCUUUUACCCGGGAUGAUAAUGACAGUACCGGGAGAAUAAGCUCCGGCUAACUCCGUG
Molecule: ribosomal RNA, 433 nt
Filed under: uncultured bacterium
Lineage: Bacteria
Description: partial 16S ribosomal RNA
Rfam family: Bacterial small subunit ribosomal RNA
Source: RNAcentral